GACGAACGCUGGCGGCGUGCUUAACACAUGCAAGUCGAGCGGAAAGGCCCUUCGGGGUACUCGAGCGGCGAACGGGUGAGUAACACGUGAGUAACCUGCCCUAGACUUUGGGAUAACCCUCGGAAACGGGGGCUAAUACCGGAUACUCCUUCUAAAUCGCAUGAUUUGGCUGGGAAAGUUUUUCGGUCUGGGAUGGACUCGCGGCCUAUCAGCUUGUUGGUGGGGUAAUGGCCUACCAAGGCGAGGACGGGUAGCCGGCCUGAGAGGGCGACCGGCCACACUGGGACUGAGACACGGCCCAGACUCCUACGGGAGGCAGCAGUGGGGAAUAUUGCACAAUGGGCGGAAGCCUGAUGCAGCGACGCCGCGUGAGGGAUGACGGCCUUCGGGUUGUAAACCUCUUUCAGCAGGGACGAAGCGUAAGUGACGGUACCUGCAGAAGAAGCGCCGGCCAACUACGUG
Molecule: ribosomal RNA, 462 nt
Filed under: uncultured bacterium
Lineage: Bacteria
Description: partial 16S ribosomal RNA
Rfam family: Bacterial small subunit ribosomal RNA
Source: RNAcentral